GGGGAGCACCACAAGGGGUGGAACCUGCGGUUCAAUUGGAUUCAACGCCGGACAACUCACCAGGGGCGACAGUUGGUUGAAGGCCAGGUUGACGACUUUGCUGGACUAGCUGAGAGGUGGUGCAUGGCCAUCGUCAGCUCGUACCGUGAGGCGUCCUGUUAAGUCAGGCAACGAGCGAGAUCCUCGCCCCUAGUUGCCAUCGGUGGGAAGCCGGGCACUCUAGGGGGACCGCUGGCGCUAAGUCAGAGGAAGGAGAGGGCGACGGUAGGUCAGUAUGCCCCGAAUCCCCUGGGCUACACGCGGGUUACAAUGCGCAGGACAAUGAGAUGCAACCCCGUAAGGGGGAGCCAAGCCCCUAAACCUGCGCUCGGUUCGGAUCGAGGGCUGUAACUCGCCCUCGUGAAGCUGGAAUCCCUAGUAAUCGCGUGCCAACACCGCGCGGUGAAUGCGUCCCUGCUCCUUGCACACACCGCCCGUCAAGCCACUCGAGUGGGGUCCGGAUGAGGUCAGUUCAAGUUGGACUGCUCGAAUCCGAGUUCUGCAAGAGGGGCU
RNAcentral lists this ribosomal RNA (552 nucleotides) under uncultured archaeon. RNAcentral's name for it is "bacterial SSU rRNA". It matches the Rfam family "Archaeal small subunit ribosomal RNA", at positions 871 to 1429 of the family's 1478-position model. The record is from RNAcentral.